Molecule: ribosomal RNA, 468 nt
Filed under: uncultured bacterium
Lineage: Bacteria
Description: partial 16S ribosomal RNA
Rfam family: Bacterial small subunit ribosomal RNA
Source: RNAcentral
GACGAACGCUGGCGGCGUGCUUAACACAUGCAAGUCGAACGGAAAGGCCCUGCUUUUGUGGGGUGCUCGAGUGGCGAACUGGUGAUUAACACUUGAGUAACCUGCCCUUGACUUUGGGAUAACUUCAUGCAACUUGGUCUAAUACCGCAUAGGAGCUCCUGCUUCAUGGUGGGGGUUGGAAAGUUUCGGCGGUUGGGGAUGUACUCGCGGCUUAUCAGCUUGUUGGUGGGGUAGUGGCUUACCAAGGCUUUGACGGGUAGCCGGCCUGAGAGGGUGACCGGCCACAUUGGGACUGAGAUACGGCCCAGACUAAUACGGGAGGCAGAAGUGGGGAAUAUUGCACAAUGGGCGGAAGCAUGAUGCAGCAACGCAGCGUGCGGGAUGACGGCAUUCGGGUUGUAAACCGCUUUCGCCUGUGACGAAGCGUGAGUGACGGUAAUGGGUAAAGAAGCACCGGCUAACUACGUG